ACCUCAUGAGAACGAUGGGACUCUGGGCUUCUCAGCUCACAUGCCAUAGAGCAGCAGGAGGACCCUGGUCAUGGCUCCCCCACCUCGGACCCUUGUGACAUGCUACCACCUUGUGAAGAGGUCUGUCGGAUAACACACAAGUAUUUGCAGCUUUUGUCUUCCUUUCCAUGGCCUUUGAUUCUUCGGGCAGAAUGUCCCUCCUGGAUUACAUUGUUCAAAUUUCACACAGACCUUUGCUCCUCUCUCUAAGGCUCAGCCAGAAACCAAGAAGGAUAUAUAGUCUUGGUGUCACGAAAAGCAACCCAAAAUGCGUCUAUGGCACCAACUGCCCAGGGUUCUGCUUCUGUCCCGCGGCGCCAGCGGCCCCUAGCGGAGAUGCGCGGUAUUACUGAGCACCGGUGGAUGCCCACCCCCACCCCUACACAUUCACCUGCUCACCUCCCCGCACUCCUACAAGAGAGGUACUACGCUUAUUCCUGUUUGAGAGAGAAGACCCUUGAGACGCAGGAAGGAAGCAUCUUGCCCAGUGUGGUACAGCUGGUAGGGCAGAGCCGGAACUGCCCACUCCACCGAAGCACACCCCGGAACCACAGCUGCGCCCAGGCUGGUACCUGGGAGAAGAGAAUCCACAGCAGGAGAGCAACAGGGGUGCCAACAAAACUGUUUCCAGGGGAACUCCUUAGCAGAAAGAGCAAGGCAGACUCCGGACCUGGAGACCUCAGCCAACACACGCAUUACAUGUUUCUGACAAGGUAG
This 756-nucleotide long non-coding RNA is filed under the name Mustela putorius furo (domestic ferret). Its description in RNAcentral is "lncRNA (ENSMPUG00000028613.1)". Lineage: Eukaryota; Metazoa; Chordata; Mammalia; Carnivora; Mustelidae. The record is from RNAcentral.